This 4314-nucleotide long non-coding RNA is filed under the name Selaginella moellendorffii. RNAcentral's name for it is "long non-coding RNA (SMOE_LNC001221)". Lineage: Eukaryota; Viridiplantae; Streptophyta; Lycopodiopsida; Selaginellales; Selaginellaceae. The record is from RNAcentral.
AAGACGCUACGAGCAUAUCUCACUCCUUUGUUUUUUUUGUUUUUUUUUUUUCUUUUGCAGCACGGAGUCGCUGUAAGAUCUGGUCACCACUGCACGCAGCCACUGCAUCGCCAUUUGGGAAUCAAUGCCAGUGCUCGAGCAAGCCUGUACUUUUACAACACGAAACGAGAGGUGGACGCGUUUAUAGACGCCCUAAAUGACACCAUUGGUUUUUUUUCCUAGCUACAUUAACGUAUGUAGCAGAAGAUGUAGUUAAGUUGUCAGUAAUAAAUCUCAUUUCGUGUACCCUCUCUUCGUUGCAGCUAUGGCGCUGCUGCAGAACCUUGGUAGCUCCCACCUGACGUUGAUCUCCUCCUCGAGGAGGAACUGUUCGCGGCGCCAGUGUCGAGGUACUCCAAUCGUUUUGUUUGUAUUGCCUGGAGUCUCAGCGGCUUGAUUACAGCCGAGACAACAACGGAGCCUCAAACAGAUUGGAGGAAAAGGUCGAAACCCAUCAAGCCUGGAAGCACGUAUCCAGCGAAAGAAUUUUGCAGGUAAAGCUAUCAAUCUUUUCUAAGAGCUCAAUUCACUAAGCUUUUCGCCGUAGUCAUUGCGGCUUGUGUGACUCGUAUUACAUAGCUCAUGUGAAGAAAGCCUGUGCAUUUCUCGGGAAUGGUAUGACUAAAGUCGAGGUGAGCUUUUCUAGUCUUGUUUUGUGUUCCUGUUUUCCUUAUUCUAUCUAUAUUCGCAGGCUAUGGAGCCCGAAGUGCAUGGGAGAGCACGAGAUGUAAAGUCUUUGGACGAGUUAUAUUUUGGAGUUCAUGAAGAGUUACUUUAUGCACGAAAGAUUGAGCCUGUCAAAGGUACAGUGACGAAGGCUCAGGUUUUACGUUUUUCCAAUCGUGCACAUACUUUCAGGAGCCCAAUGGACAGGCAUUGUUACUGCCAUAGCAAUAGAAAUGCUCAAAACAAAGCGCGUGGAAGCUGUUAUAUGUGUUCAGAGGUAGGCUGCUGGUCUUUAUAGGACUUCCUGACAGAGGACUUUCUUCAGUGAUCCAGAAGAUCGUUUCACACCCCGGCCCGUGCUAGCAAGGUAUAUUGUCCACCUAGAUUCUUGGUAUAUCUAUCUGGUUUCUCAGGACUCCUGAAGAAAUACUCGCCGCUCGAGGAGUGAAACCGACCUUGUCACCAAAUCUAAACACGCUGGCGCUCGUGGAGGUAUUGUAUUGUCAAAACUUAUGAUUUGCUUUUUACACUUCGCCUGGUAGGCUGCUGGUGUCAAGAAGCUUCUGUUCUGUGGAGUCGGGUGCCAAGUUCAAGGUAAUUUCAAUCAAGCUAUAGAUCGUUGCUUGAUGUUUUGGGGCAGCUUUGAGGGCGGUGGAGAAGUAUCUUGGUCUUGAAAAGCUCUACGUGCUUGGUACAAAUUGCGGUCAGUAGAUGGUCAGUUUUAUUGCUAGUCCCACACAAUUAUGUGCUAACAAGCAAGAAACCGCAGUGGACAAUGGCCCCAGAGAAGGGCUCGAUAAGUUUCUACGAGCAGCGAGUGACAGUCCUCAAACUGUUCUACACUACGAGUUCAUGCAAGAUUACAAGGUUGUAAACUCGUUUCUAGUUAAUUAGACUGACACGUCUAGCCUCUUAGGUUCACCUGAAACACUUGGAUGGUCGUAUGGAAGAGGUUGGUGUUCUUGUUCAUCUCUCGAGAUUGAUUUCACUAUCAUGAACGUUUUCCAGGUUCCUUACUUUUGUUUACCAGCUAGUGAUCUAACCGAUGUGAUAGCUCCAUCAUGCUACAGGUGCUUAUUUUCAAAUACUUUCAUCAUGCCAAGGAACUAAGAUUUGUCGUUUGUUUUUGUUUUUGUGCAGCUGCUUCGAUUACACCAACGGAUUGGCUGUAAGAAUUGCAAAUUGUUUUCUCAACAUACGUUUUGAUCUGUGGAAUGGUGAUUACAGGAUCUCGUGGUGGGCUAUAUGGGAGUUCCCAAAUAUCCUGGUGUCAGUAUGGUUCAACACCCACAAUAUGUCACCGUUAGGUAGUGAUUUGAACUUAUUUUUACUCGUUUUCUUCUGAGCAAAGUAUUGGACGCUUGCAGAAAUGAGAGGGGUAGAGAAAUGCUGGAUCUAGUCAAGCAUCUCCUUGAAGUUACACCCACUGUUAGCACGGUAUGGAAUGUUUCAUCGCCUCCACACGUUUAUUUCGCAAUUCCUGUCUGGCCAGGGUGACAGGCGUCCAUUUGUAAUGGAGACGGUCAAGGCAGAUGACAAUGCGAAACUAGGCAAGUUUUCUUUCCUUUUCUUUACAUUUUUGUCAUGAAAGAGAACCUUUUAUUUGUUGCUGUCCUUCGUUGCCAGGCUUGCAAAAGAGUGCCCCGGCACCUCGAUUUGUUGGUAAUAUUAUUGCGUUUCUGCUGAAUCUGGUUGGUGUUUGGAGCUCUUUAUUUCUUAUCGUCUUGUCUUAUAAUUGAUGCAUGACAGAUCGGGCCGAAGGGCCUGGAAUUUGGACGAUACUCUCUUGACUACCACACUAUCAGGAAUUACCUCUAUGUACAGCGCGCCAUGGGGAAAUCCAGGUUCGUUUUGCUGUUCAGCAUUGCGGAUAUGACUGUGUUCUUGGCUAACUUUCAGAGCUGAAGCUCACAUUCCGUCUUACUCCAAGGAACUGGUAGAGAAGUACAAUGAAGGUGGCGCCAUCGAUAAACUCUUAAAGCGACAGGUCUAAACUUUCUCUUCUUUGUGUGAGAGAUUUUAUAAAACUUCCGAGUUUGCACUUUCAAAUAGACUUUGAUUUUUUCCAAGUUCAAGAACUUCAGUCUUUUGCGAUUAAUCUUCGAAUUUCGAUGGUUUUAGUUAUAAACUUCAUUCAAAGCUCUGGCUGACUUGCUCGUUGCUCUUCUUUCUUUUUGGUUUGUUUUAUUGUCCUUGCGUUCGCGACUAGGCCGGCCUUGCAGAAAGAAUCCGCCAGCACCUCGAUUCGUUGAGAGAAAUGAUCGCAUUUCUCCUCAAAUCUGGUUGGUGUGUCUUGGAUGCAUGCGCUUUCUUUUUCUUCAAGUGCUCACUUAACGGAUGCCUGUCCUGGCAUGGCAGAACUGGCCCUACUGUGUAGAGCUCUUUGGUCUUGACUACCAACACUCGAUCUAGAGAUUUUGGAAUCGUCUCCAAGGCUGCCAAACCUUCAGUACAAAUCGAAAGUUUCUAAGUAGUAAUAUUUUUUUUUAUAAAUCAGUAGUAUCUCUUUUUAUCCUGGAAACCCUCGCGGUUUCAUCGUAUCUGGCCGCGAAAAGUGUAACAAAAAAAAAGAGGAGCCAUUGACGAAAGGCCUCCAGGAUAAGGACGUUCUCUCUUUCUUUCUUUUUUUUCCAGAGGAGUUCAAAGAUGGAAUACCUUAUGUUUAUUGUCUCGCCAGCUCUCUGUUGGAACUCGGUCUCCAUGUAGACUAGAAAACGACUGGACAAGACCAAGUCCAAAAGAGGGGGUUUGUAGAAUAACAUAGGAAAAUGUAUUCUAGUUGUAAAGUAGAGAAACAGUAAGAUUGUAGAUCCAAUUCCCAGGCGCCUUACGUAACCUCAACCUCAAUCCUUGCCACAAAGCAGAGAAAGUCGAAUGAGUGGAACUAUAUCAGAUAUGUUGGCAAAAAGAAAAGAGCUUUUACACACAGAAAAAUUUUAGACAACGAAAGCUACAAGCGACAAGUUGGCGUCCUCUUCCGAUGCAACAGCUCGCAAUCCCAAUCAAUCAGGGAAGCACCGAUCGAUCCAUACAAGAAAAAAAAAGAAAAACUCAAAAAAGAGAGAGAGAGAGAGAAAAGAAAACAAUGUAGGAUCACCUUCAAGUUUCAACCCUCGGGACCCCACUCGAGCGCCGGCGUGGCAGUGUGACGUGGCGCGCACGUGGAGGGCCAGGUCUGGGACGUGGCAUGGCAGGUCAGCCUUUUCAGUGGAGACGGGACGGGGUUUAGAAGAUAUCGCGCGAGGGUUUUAUUUCUUUGUGGUUUUGGAUUUUGCGACCAAUGUGGACAGACGGCAACAAGCAAGAAGAAGACACGCAAGCGAGCGCCAUUAACUAGUCUCUGGAAAGCUUGUGUAGCGAUCGGAGCAGUAGCAUCGAGCGCGCGCGCGCGACGAGCGCUUGAUUUACUAGCGGCCGCUGGCGAGAUUUCUCCUCCUCCUCCUCCUCUUACUCGCAUUUCUUUCUUUUGUUCUUUCUUCCUGGUGUAGAAUCUAGAUCUCUCUCGCAUUCUCUCGUUCCAGAUCCGCUCCAGCUCUUGACUCGCAGCGAAAUCUUCCCCCCUCCCAUCAAUGCUGCGCUGAAAUAUCGCGCAAGAUCGACCGAUUCGUC